Aethina tumida (small hive beetle) is the source of this 370-nucleotide long non-coding RNA. RefSeq lists it as uncharacterized. The transcript is spliced from 3 exons. Lineage: Eukaryota; Metazoa; Arthropoda; Insecta; Coleoptera; Nitidulidae. The record is from RefSeq and is a predicted model, not a curated record.
UUGAAUAACACUGCAACCAUUUGUUUUAACUUGUUAUUAAAUAUCAAAUUUUUGAAGAUGACGUUCCUGAGAAGAAGUAUUAUUCAGUUUGCUGAAGCAGUUUUAUUAUCAUGAACAUUGUGGUAUUAGUACAAUUUGAUAAAAUCUACAAAAUUGACAUUUAUUCAAAUACAUAAUCAAUACUACAUAACUAUUUAUUUAAAUUGCACUAUAACAGCUAAAUAAGAAAUGACAGAGCUUCAUUCGUUGAUAAAGAUGGCAACUUUUCUAAUACCUCGAGACAUACUGGUGACGUGUGUUUUGCUUCUGAAUUUAGUUUGUGACAAUUCAUUAAUAAACUAAUACUAACAAUCUACAAAUACAAAAAUUG